AUUUAUAUAAUAUAUUUAGUAUAUUUGACUUCCAAUCAAAAAGUUUAAUGAUUUUAAUAUAAAUA
This 65-nucleotide transfer RNA is filed under the name Issoria lathonia (Queen of Spain fritillary). Its description in RNAcentral is "tRNA-Gly". The record is from RNAcentral. Lineage: Eukaryota; Metazoa; Arthropoda; Insecta; Lepidoptera; Nymphalidae. RNAcentral also lists the same sequence under 2 other names.